Molecule: transfer RNA, 74 nt
Filed under: Planctomycetes bacterium RIFCSPHIGHO2_12_FULL_52_36
Lineage: Bacteria; Pseudomonadati; Planctomycetota
Also listed under: 3 other names
Description: tRNA-Gln
Rfam family: tRNA
About the family: Transfer RNA (tRNA) molecules are approximately 80 nucleotides in length. Their secondary structure includes four short double-helical elements and three loops (D, anti-codon, and T loops).
Source: RNAcentral
UGGGGAGUAGUGUAACGGUAGCACUGCAGACUCUGGAUCUGCCUGUCUAGGUUCGAAUCCUGGCUCCCCAGCCA